CCUACGGGAGGCAGCAGUGAGGAAUAUUGGUCAAUGGGCGCGAGCCUGAACCAGCCAAGUCGCGUGAGGGAAGACGGUCCUAUGGAUUGUAAACCUCUUUUGUCGGGGAGCAAAAGACGCCACGCCUGGCGUUCCGAGAGUACCCGCAGAAAAAGCAUCGGCUAACUCCGUGCCAGCAGCCGCGGUAAUACGCAGGAUGCGAGCGUUAUCCGCAGGUAUUGGGUUUACAGGGUGCGCAGGCGGGAGAUUCAGUCAGCGGGCAAAUGGAGAGGCGCAGCCGCUUCGCGCCGUUGAAACUGGGUUUGGUGAGUGAGCGAGAAGUAUGCGGAAGGCGUGGGGUAGCGGGGGAAGGGAUAGAGAUAACGCAGGACUGGGAUGGGGAAGGGAGGAUACCGGCGCUCAACUGAGGCGCAUGGACGAAAGUGUGGGUAUCGAACAGGAGUAGAUAGCCGAGUAGGG
RNAcentral lists this ribosomal RNA (459 nucleotides) under uncultured bacterium. RNAcentral describes it as "partial 16S ribosomal RNA". It matches the Rfam family "Bacterial small subunit ribosomal RNA", at positions 338 to 795 of the family's 1533-position model. The record is from RNAcentral.